Molecule: long non-coding RNA, 1889 nt
Organism: Salvelinus fontinalis (brook trout)
Lineage: Eukaryota; Metazoa; Chordata; Actinopteri; Salmoniformes; Salmonidae
Exons: 2
Source: RefSeq, a predicted model, not a curated record
GCCAUGGAGUUGUUCACACAGUCCUGCCAUGCAGUGAUGUCAUUCUUCUGCCCUGACGAUGGAGCUGGAAGCUCAUAUCUGCACAGGUGAAAAAUAAAACAGUUGGGUGUACACUCGGGACAACAAGGGUUUAAAUGCAUCACGUUAGAACUGAAUGGGUGAUUGAAUGUUAUCAAUAUUUUUUAACAGGACUGUUUUUGCCAUGUGCAAAAGAGUAGACUGGGUUGACCUCUUCAUGCUGAGAAGUUCCAGAGGCUGCCGGGCUGCUAGCCUCUCAAACUCGUUCCUCAUGAUUUCAGUCUGAUGGGUGAUAUAUAAGCAUGAGUAUUUGCUUCACAUAAUGUAAUUGUAGAGCAUCAUAGAUUACACAGUUGACAGUGAGUCAGUCUAAAUCCAUAAGCAUAUUACAGCAUGACAUUAUGUGCAUAUUCAUUUAUGGCUUUAUGUUUUAAUAGAAUGUGGAACUGUGUAAGUGAUACUUACUUCAAAGGUAGUGAAAUCAGGUGUGGGUAUAUAAUUGAGAUAGUUCUUUGUAGGUCUGUAUCUGCGAGUCUCCUCUUCUACCAAGGCUGCUGCCUGUGUAUGGAAAUGAAUGCAUAUGAACAGACAGCAUAGUACUAUAAUAACGUUAACCUAGCUAGACUCGUACCUCUUUGAGGGGUGACAUAGCUAGCUACUGUAUGUUAUUGUACGUUAGCCGAUGAUGGCGGUUGCUUGAGGCAUGAUUCUAAAACGACCAGAUUAGCAAGAUAAUGCUUUUAUUAUUGACAGUAGCCUGGUAGCGUUACUUUGCUUCCGUGGCUUGUUCAUGUCUAUCAUAGGUCCUUGGGACAUCACCCCAUUUUACGUUGAGAUUUUAGUCACUUAGUAGACGCUCUUACGCUUCGAUCACACUGAUAGUGUUAUGGUACACCAGCAGUACAUUAAUGGUUGCCAUCCCAAUAAAGUUGACAUGUGAAAUGGUUACGGUUAGGUAAGGGACUGAUUGCACUAACUAUGUCAGUUACUUGCCUGCUAGCUAACUAUAGCUAGACUAGCGAACGUUAGUUAGCAACUGAUAACUAUGCCUAUGGAGCAGACACUUACCGCCUCUCUGACGCCAGCUGCAUCAUAACCCUGGUCAAAAUACGAACCUGAGCCCUAGGACCACACGUCAGGACUACCGGGCAUGCUGACACCUUGCUGUCCCCAGUCCGCCCGGCCUUGCUGCUAUUCCAGUUUCAACUGUUUCUGCCUGCGGUUACGAAACCCCUACCUGUCCCAGACCUGCUGUUUUCAACUCUUAAUGAUCGGCUAUGAAAAGCCAACUGAGAUUUAUUCCUGAUUAUUAUUUGACCAUGCUUGUCAUUUAUGAACAUUUUGAAAAUCUUGGCUCUCUCUAAUUUUCUCCUUCUCUCUUUCUUUCUCUCGGAGGACCUGGGCCCUAGGACCAUGCGUCGGGACUGCCGCCCGUGGUGACUCCUUGCUGUCCCCAGUCCGCCUGGCCUUGCUGCUAUUCCAGUUUCAGCUGUUCUGCCUGCGGUUAUGGAACCGCCACCUGUCCCAGACCUGUUGUUUUUCAACUCUUAAUGAUCAGCUAUGAAAAGCCAACUGAAAAUUAUUCAUGAUUAUUAUUUGACCAUGCUUGUCACUUAUGAACAUUUUUGAACAUCUUGGCAUAGUUCUGUUAUAAUCUCCACCCGGCACAGCCAGAAGAGGACUGGCCACCCCUCAUAGCCUGGUUCCUCUCUAGGUUUCUUCCUAGGUUUUGGCCUUUCUAGGGAGUUUUUCCUAGCCACCGUGCUUCUACACCUGCAUUCUAGCUGUUUGGGGUUUUAGGCUGGGUUUCUGUUCAGCACUUCGAGAUAUUAUCUGAUGUACGAAGGGCUAUAUAAAAUAAAAUUGAUUGA